AUUAUUUUUGUUUAUGUAUUUAGAUAUGGUUGGAAGCACACUCGCGAAAAUACUCGACAAACAUUGCCUAGAGGGGCACAAUUUCCCAUCAUGGUAUCGUAAUGUCAAGAUUCUCCUAACAUUGGAGAAGAUUGUCUACGUACUAGACAAGGCUCCACCUCACAUACCUCUCGGCCCUGGGGCUACUGAGGAUGAACGUGCUAAGUUUGACAAGCACGUUGAGGAUGACACACAAGCCAAGUGCUAUCUGUUGGCUUCCAUGAAUGAUGAGCUACAGAGACAGCACGAGGGCAUGGAUAGUGCAUCUUCCAUAAUACUCCAUCUUACGGAGUUAUAUGGUGAAGGGAUGCACAACCGUCGCUUUAGCAUUGUUUGUGAACUUGUGAAGACCAAGAUGGUCAAGGGGGCUCCAGUGCAUCAACAUGUACUGAAGAUGAUAGGAUUCAUUGAACAAUUGGAGAACCUUGGUACUCCACUUGACGGGGAAUUGGCCCAGGACUUCAUAUUGGCUUCUCUUUCUGAUUCAUUUGCGCAAUUCGUAAUGAACUACAGUAUGAAUAAGAUGGAUAGUACUCUCUCUGAGUUACUAAAUAUGUUAGUAACUGCCAAGAAGACUAUGAAGAAAGAGAACGUUGUAGGGACUUCUGCAGUAGUCUACAACAAGCCAUCCUCUUCCAAGGCCAAGCCGCAAGGCAAAGGCAAAGGGAAGGAGAAGAAGCCACCCUCUCCUAAGCCGAAAGGAGGAGUGAGGAAAAAGAAGGCAAAAGAGCCCAAAGGGACUUGCCACCAUUGUGGAAAGGAAGGGCAUUGGAGGAGGAAUUGCAGGUUAUACCUUGCAAGUCUAAGGACAAGCCACAAGGUAUGGUUUAUGUUCUUAUCUUCAAUUCUAAAUGUUAGAUCUUCUAAAUAUUUAUAUUUGAUAUAAAGAGCUAAUCACUUGUAUAAUUGUAUAUAGGUGGAGAAGCCAAGUAGAAGAUGAACAAGCAAGGAAAAGGUGGUGAAGGGUUCGGCCACUAUAUUUUUUUGCUUACUACUUAGGAAGUUUGUUAGGCAUUAAAGAUUGUCUUUAAACUUUCUUAUUUUGUUAAGAACUUAUUAUGUGGCUUCAUAUGAUGAAAGACCACUAUUAGUGCCUAAAUAUAUAAAGGUAUUUAUAUUAGUCUCUAAAUGUAUAGAGCUAAUACUUUUUGUAUUAAACAUUAUAAAUGUUUGAAAUAUCAUAUUAAUGUAAUGUGAAGAAUGCCUUUUUAAUAUAUUAUUUCCUUAAAGUAGUGUUAUGAAUUGAAAAUUGUCUUGUUGUAUCCUAAUUGAGAUACAAGAGUUAUAUCACUUAUUGUAAUGUGAUAACCAAAACUUUAGAUUUAUCAAUUAUGGAUAGAUCUCACAUGUAGGACAUAAAAGGAUACAAUGAAUCUUUAGAUUUGGUUCCAAUUGUCUACCUAUGAGUUCUAUAUGAAUUGACAAAAGUCUAGAGUAUCCUUUCUUGAAGAAAAGGAAGAUCACAUUAUAAUGAUAUAAGUAAUAAGAAAAACGUUUCUUAUAUGGUUAUCACUUGAAACACAAUGAUCAAGAUCACUCUUGAUUCAAUUAGUAAUUUUGAACCACUAAUUGGGCAUUCUUUAAAAGGUUUUAAAAUGUCAAUUGUGUUAGUGAUUAAACCAAGAAAGAAGUGUCUAAAUCUAUAAAAUGUUUAAAGACUUUAGUCACUUAAUAACAAGACAUUAACUUAGUGAAGAUUGAAACAAAUAAGCUUGAAAUGUUUUAAAGCUACUACACAAUGUCUUCUUCCAAUAUACUCCACUUUCAUACAUUUUGAAUAUAUGAAAUGAUUUCUCAUUAAAGUCAUGAGAAAUAAUGGGAGGUGUGAAAAUGGAUAUAAACUUGAAUAUGAUUGGUUUAUAGUUGUCUAAAGAAUAAUAGUAUUUGACUAUUAUUAAGAGUUUGCAAUUUUAAUUGUUAAAAGACUCAAGCUCUUCAAAACGUUAAAAUUCUAUGUUGUGUGACAUUCUAAAGAAUAGUCUUUGAAUGUUGGUUUCGUCAACCUAGCAUAAAAUGGCUAUAUGUUGGGAGUUGUCCAUAAUUCUCUUUUAUGAGAACAAGCUAAAUAACCAAGCAUAUGGACAAGUUGAUGAAACAAAAGGGGAUAAGUUUCAAAAUGAGUCACAACCAAGGUAUUAAAUAUCGGUAAUAUCGGAAAUAUCGGUAGUCCGAAAACACGGAAAUAUCGAUGGAAAUAUCGAGAUAAUAUCGAUAUCGAUAAAAAUUACAUGGAAACCACGGAAAUUGUAAGAAAAACUUGGAAAUUUUUAUUGAAACUUUGCAGGAUGUUUAUUUAGUCAAUUAUCUAUUAGUUUAUCACAAAAAAUUGGAAGGAAAUGCAUUGCAUGAUGAAUUUAACAUUAUCAAGUUGAUUAUAUAGCGAGCUGACAAACAUUGUGAGUGUAGAAAAUAUGUAGUAAUUAAUGAAAGUAGUCUAAACAUACCAUAAUCAUUUAUAUAUAAUGAAUUAGUACAAUAUUUUACACUUUAAUACCACAUAGAGUUCCUAUGAGGUUCAAAUUUUUCACUAUCUUCAAAUUUUUCACACACAGGAUGCAACACGCACACACGCACACGCACACACGCACACGCAACAAGCACACACGCAUACCCAGAGGGCCAGAGCCUUUCUGGAUCCUUCUCUCCCUCUCUCGGUCUCUCCGUCUCCUUCUCUCCCUCGGUUUCUUCGUCUCCUUCACAGCCUCGGUCUCUCCGUCUCCUUCUCUCUUUCUCUCCCUCGGACUCUCACCUCACCUCAGUCUCUCAGCACACAUCUUACGGCGAGAAAUUAUUUUCCUUUUUUCAGCCGUUCUCCAUUCUCAGCACAUAUCAUUGGGCCUUUUCAUUUCCCCCUUCGAUCCCUCCGCCGUUGGCAGCGAGAUGAAGACGAGCUACUGCUAGCGAGGGCGAGGGUUACGAGGUCCCUCUGAGCCUUUUCCUUCAUCCCCAAACCUCUGCUGAGGAUUACUUGGUCGCGACUCUCUCUCGAAUCUCGAAUCUCGAUCUCGAUCUGGAUCCUUCCCUCAGUCUCUCCAUCCUUCUUCUUCUCCCUCAAUCUCUCGAACUCGAUCCUUCUCCGGUUCUCCCCCCCCCCCAAUCUCUUCUCUGCAACUCCGCCGAGUUGCUUGGGGCCUUUUUACGGUCUCUCUACACACCACCUGUGGUUUCCUCCUCCCUUUCUCACCUCCCGGCGACGGCGACGACGACGAAUAUCGCGAUAAUAUCGCUAAUAUCGCGAUAUUACCGAUAUUACCGAUAUUAUCGCGAUAUUUUAAAGAUAUUUUAAUUUUACUCCAAAAAAUAUCGUCCGGUUAAAAAAACGAUAUUAUCGGCGAAAUAUCGCCGAUAAUAUCAAUUUUUAAGACUGUGGUCACAACAUAUGGUUUAACAACAAGACAAACCAAAUUCAACAUCUCAUGUAACAAUAUUGCUCUAUGUAGUUUUAAUAAAGAAUUAUAUCAACCACCUAGAAGGAAUGGUUGAGUUUCUAUAUCCUUAGUAGGAACCAUGCUUCCACUAAAGACUUGGAUAAUUCUUAUAUGACUACAUUAAAGGUCUUAGUAUGACUAAAACUUGAAGUAUGGUGUAUGAUAACAUAUAAUUUAAAUGAAUAGACUUAAUGCAACAAGUCACACAUUUCAAAUGGAAUUACUUGAGAAGGAAUUCUUUUGUGUGUGAUUCAUUUAAGUUAGUGGGAGCAAUAUACAUUCAAAUCAAGAAAAUAUAAUUGUUAAUUUUGAAUGAAUGCUAAGUUACAACAAGGCCAGUGGGAGUGAUGUCAUAAUUUGAGCAACAAGAUGUGAAUAAGGUCUAUUCGAUAGACUUGAUAAAACAUAGAUAUUACUCGAGAAAUGACAAAACAUGACAUGGUCAAUUUUGAAGUAUAGACUUGAAAUUGGACUUAUUGAUAUAGCAAGGCUAUCUCAAUAAUGUUAUAUGGGAAUUAAAUCUCAAAUGUUGUAGAUUUAAGAAAGCAUUUUCUUAUGUAAUAGGAAAUCACUUUCAUAACCCUUAUAAUGAAUGUGUCAUAAAAUCACAAAAAGGGGCACAUGUAUUGACUUGUGAAGUAAAUAUCCAAAAGUGAAGAACCACAAGGGUUGUCACUAUAAGAUAUUACUAAAUCCCAGGAUCAGAACCAAAGCAACUGAAUGAGUAUUAUUGCCUUUAAGAAAGAAACAUCAGAGUGGGACUCUGGAAGCGUGCAUUCACUUAGGUUGUUAACCAAAGUGAAAAUAAGCCAUUUUAACAAAUGGAACUUCAUAAUGGAUGAAGUACUAAUCAUAUGAAUGAUUGUUAGUAUUGUACUACAAUGGUCUCAAGGUUGGAGCAAAGUUUGUAUAAAGUAUACAAACGAAAUAUAUGUCGAUAUAUAGUUUUAGAAACUGCUUCAAAAGGUGUUUUGAAUGGAAGGGGUUCUUUUAGAACCAAUGAUUGAAUCCAAACCAUAAGGUCGUCAGUAGGGUACUACGACGUAAUGGGGCGAUAGCUCAAGCCAUGGAAUCAAGGUCUCAUCAAAGUAUUCGAACACAAUAAAGAGACAUCAUCAAAUGUUUUUGGAAACAUUUGAUAAGAAAAUCCCUUUUAAAUAAUAAAAGGGAUUAAUACAUAACCAAGUUAACCUACGAGCAUAAGCUCUCUCAACAAGAUGUAUAAGAUACACUAGUGAUUGACUUUAGUGCAAGUGGGAGAUUGUUGGAAAUAUGCCCUGAAAGUCAAUCUUUGGAAGAAACCUUUCAGGACAAAUGAAUCGAUGUAUGGAUGACUCUUAUACAUCAAAUGGCAAAAACACGAAUUAGGACUAUCUCAAUAAACGAUAUAUGUCCUAAAUAGUGUAUCCAUGGACAAUGGAUCGAUUGAAGAAGUAAUCUAAUCAUGUUAGACUACAGAGACCUUCUUCACAUAACCAUUAUGUCCAAAAAGGUUCCUAGUCAUUGGAUUGUCGGAGGGAAACUGACAAUGCUUAGACCGGUACAUACUAUGUCCGCUUCAAAUGGAAGGAUGGAAAGUCUCAUCCCAUUCGUGUUGUGACACUAAGACAAGUAUGUAGGUGCUCAUUAAGAGAAUGAGUUCACUGAACACAAUCGAACGAGAGUACUUGCAUGGAGGUCUACUCACAUGUCAAGCAAGUAACUCUAAUGGUUGGAAUAAUGUAAGUAAUCCUUUGACCUGAGGCAUCGUCGUUGUCUUGUGGCUAAGUACUUAAUCUUUGAUUAUGUCAAAGUCACCCCAUUCGCGGAUGUCCACGGCAUAAUUGGGGUUAAUCCACUUAGUCAUGAAGGCAAGUGAAUGCGUAACAAGGAAUCUCUAAUCCUCGAUUAGAGAGGAAGAAUACUCUAAGAUAUGAUUCGGGAAUCUUUAGCCGAAGUAUCGAGUGUAAUAAAGGAAAGCGUUCCUAUACGACUCAAUUGAAUCAUAUAAGAAGGAAUAAUCACAUUAGGGGUUUGACAUAAUAUAUUCAUACCCUAGUAAUGUGAUUGAGAGUAUUGUUUUAGAGAAUGAUCGAAUUACAUUGUAAUUCCAACUGAAUAGGUUCUCCGAACAACUUCUACAUUAGCUUGGGUAGCUAUGACAUAUGGUUAGAUGUCACUCAUAGCUUGUGAGUUCUUCUAGAUGAUUAAAUGUAGUCAUCAAAGAAGAAAGGUGAAUUAAAAUGAAGUUUUAAUUCACUAAGUGAUUGGAUUAAAUAUAAUCAAUUAGAUUGAUGUCAAUCACCUCACUGCCUUGCUAAUUAGAACCUAAAAUGAUUGUACACCGAUACACUCUUGUAGUGAGUAAUUAAUGGAUGAUGAAAAUAAUUAAUUGGAUUAAUUAAGUGUUGUGAUUAAUUUAGAAAGUCUAAAGAAAUCAUAAAAGCGAUAAAAGAUCGUUUUGGGCUUAAAGAAACGGUUCGGGUUUAAUUGGGCCCAUUGGGCCUAAACCCAUUGGGCUUUUAUUUAAGCAUAUGAUGACUUGAAAUAAUAAAAGCCCAAAGCCCAAACCAAACACUAAAGGGCCGGCCACUUAAAGGGUUUGGGAGAGAUAUUUAGUCAAGUUGUUGACUAGGUUUCUUUUUGUCUAUAUAAGGAACUUUAUAGCACAAAGUUCAUUAGGGUUUUUGUGAGUUUUUGAACAACAAAGAGGCAAAAGAAAAUAACUCUCUAAAACCACAAAGGCCGGCCACCUAGAGGGUGAAUUUACUAACAAUCUUUCACCCUUUUGGUUAUUCCUCCAUCCAUCUCACUACACACUAGUGGGUGUGGAUCUUUAGAGGUCUUCUCCUUUGGAGACUUAAGGAGAACCUUGGAGCACUCUUACUAACAAAGUGGAGGAGGCAAGGAGGGAGGCUAGGCUCAAGGACUUCAAGGAACAAAGGGCUUGGAGGUGGUCCAUCCUUGGUCUCAAGUCUAGAUCAAGAGGUAUAAGACUAAACUUUCACUUUGUUCUUUACUAAAAUGUUUUGAUGCAUUAUAUAUAAACCUAUGAACCUUGAAGGGGAUUUGCAUGACUAUAGCUUUGAUAUUUUUGAUAAAUUGCUUCCGUUGCUCAUGUAUAUAAAUCUUGAAUUGUAUAUGCAUGCUAGUCAUUUAGAAAUCCCAUGUGUUAAGCUCAUAUUUUUCCCUUCAUCUUCUUUGAUGAAUUCUAGACAUUCCCCAUCCGCUUCUUGCUCUUGAUUCUUUGGAAAGGUUUCGAAGAUGCCUUUCUCACCUUCUUCUUCCUUGGAUUGCAUGAUCCUGCAAUGAAUAAGGACAUUUGGUGAAACGGGGUCAGGACAAAUUGAAUUUAGGCUUACCUUGGUUGUAGUGGACGGCAUAGAUAGCAUAUGGGGCUGUGGCAAGGGUGGUUCUUCCCUUGUCGUGGCCUUGUUAUUCUCCUCUUCUUCGAGCAGCAGCUGUUCAUCCAUGUUUUGGCUUGGUUUGGAUGUCUUGGGUUCACCUCCAACCUCCAUAGCACUUCCCAAAGUGAUAGCACCAUGGAUUUCAAAAUCUUCCUUCAAAUUUUCAAUAGUUGAGUUGGAGAGUUCACUUUGCUCUUGAAUUUGUGCCAUGAACUCCAUAAUCUGCCCAAUUUGCUUCUCCAAUUCUCCCAUCUUCUUGGCUUGAUUUUUCAUCUCUUUGUUUCCAUUUUCUACUUCCUGGUUCAAAGAGGUGAGUAACUUAUUAAACAUAUCAUUAUCCAAAGACGUACCUGAAUUGAAUUGGGCAGAUUGUUGUGGUGGUUGCAUAGGUCUUGAAUAGAACUCCUCUUCUUGCUGCCAAUACCCAUCUUGUUGGAAUUGUUGAGGUUCUCCCCACAUGUAAUCUGAAUAAUCUCUCCAAUCCGAAUUGUAAGCGUUGGAAAACAUGUUGUCCCUUAAUUGGCUAUGGCCUUGAUAACCCCAAGCAUCUUCAUUUGCAGCGAAUUUAGAACAUUAAUGAGUUGGAUAUCCUUGCCCAUAGGACACACCAUCUGUAGAGACACUUUGCAUUGUGGUCCUUUCGGCAUAUUGUGACAAUUGAGAAGUAAGUUUCGCCAAUUGAGCUUGAAUGGUAGCAAAAUCCAUAUCUUACUUCUCUAGUACUUGAAAUCAAUGAAACAAAACUAAAUCAAAUAUCAUAAGUAAAAAUAAAAGACAUAAAUAGAAACAAAGUCAGUAACUAAAACAAAAAACAUGAAAAACAAACAACGGGGGAUUAGCAAAGUUGCUAAUCCCCGGCAACAGCGCCAAAAUUGAUGCGAUGAAAUUUAAGCACUCAAAUUAAACCUUCUUGUUGUCAAAUUGUAGUAUAAAUGCAAGUAGGGAUCAUUCUAAACCGGGGAUUAGGAGGGCUUGCUAAAACCUCUAAACUUACUCAAAAACAUAAAAACAAAGUUAAAAACGUUUGAAUAGACUCAAGGGACUCAAAACAGAUUCUAAAGACUCAAAACAACUUAAAAACACUCAAAACUACCUAAAAACACAAACUGGGCAGAUUUGACUCUAACACAACUUUGGACGAAUUUAGUGUUUUGACUUAAAUCAAAACACUCUAAAACACAAACAAAACCGAAAUUUAACACUUUGAAACAAGAAAGUAAAAUGGGCGUUUUGAUUUGGAUGAAUUUGAAAUAAACAAGCAAGUUAUAAAACUAGGUAGAUUAUAAAAUGAAUUUGAGAAAUAAAAUGAUGGAUGGAUUAGUUAGAGGUCUGUUCUUCACACAUGACACACUUGUACAUGAAUCGAUUUCCAAUUGCUUUUCAAUAAACUAUGAUACUCCACACCCCAGAUUAACCGUGAUGCACAAAUUAACCCUCAGAUUUUCCUUUACUCAUUGAAUUGGAUGAAUGCAUGCGACAACCCAAAUCAUUCUCUAAAAGUCCCCUAUAUGAAUGCAUAAUAGAGAUACAAUCAGAGAUCAUUACGUUCAAUGAAAAUCAUAAGUGUUGACGAGACAAUUAUAACUAUGAAUGCAUGAUACAAUUGCCAAGAAUUCAAUUAACGCGAUUGUGAUAGACAACCUUCACUACUCAUGAAUAUAAACUUGUAAUGAUUAGGUGAAACUCAUUUAUAUUCUAGCAUCUAAUUCAUGCUUGAAAACUAAGUAUGCAUCCUUAAUAAACAUACAAGAAUCAGUUAUGAAUAAAAUAGAUAAUUGAAUUGCAAUCACAACUUAUCAAAUCACAAUUGGAAGAAAUCAAUUUAAAUCUCAAGCAUGUUCAUGGCUUCAAACUUCCCCCUAACUAAAUAGGGGUUUAGCCACUCAUAAUUGCAACAAAAUUAGAAAAUAACAAAGUAGACAUUGAAAGCAAGAACGGAGUACACCUAAAACGCUCCAAAGUUCCAAGCUUGAAACGUCAAGGACCUUUGUUUUCACCACCUUGUUGUAGCACAAGUGUCUAGGAUGUGUAUGGAUAUAUGGAUGGAAUGGAUUUGCACGGCUAAGAGAUGAAAGUGUAUGGAUCGAUGAGAUGUAGUAUGGCUAGAUGAAUGGAUGGAGGUCACAGCAAGGAAAUUGUGUUUGUGAAUGAAGUUGUGAGAUGUGAAAUGUAGUGUCUUUGGAUGAUGGCCCCCAAAUUAUGGUGAAGGGUGGAUGUAUUUAUAGGCUAGGGAGAGGAGUGUAUGGAGUUGUAAUGAGUGGAUGUAGUGAGUGCAGUGGGUGAGUGUUGUGGUAAUGAGUGGAUGUAAUGGUUGUAGUGGGUUGUGGUAAUGAGUGGAUGUAAUGGGUGUAGUGGAUGAGUGUUUGGUAAUGAGUGGAUGUAAUGGGUGUAGUGGAUAGAUGUUUGGAGAAUGGAUGUGUUGGGUGAAAUGAGUGGAUGUAGUGUUAGGUGAAUGGAUGUGUUGGGUGAAAUGAGUGUGCUAAAAUGGUUAUUUAUAGGGAGAGGAUGAUGCACAAACUUCAAAUUUCGUCCAUUCCUUUUGCUCCAAGCAUAUGCCAUCCAUUUCAUGCCCAAAAAUGCUCCAAAAUGCACUUCUUUGCCACAUUAACCCUUUGGACCUACAAACACACGAAAAUAGCUUAAAAUACUAAAAUAACUACGAACUAACAACAUAAAUGCCAAGAAACAAGCUAACUAAGUCGCAUAAAUAUGCUCCUAUCACAGGCCCUACCAUCGGAGCAUUAAGUCAUCGAUCGGUUGGCCACGCGUUUUGCAAGUUGCCCCCACUGAACAAGUGUUUUUUAUGUCAUCCUUGAGAUUCAUGCAGUUGUCGGUAAGGUGACCAUGGUCUCUAUGAAACUGAUAAUACUUGGUUUCAUCCCUUUGCCUGUGAAAGCUAGGUCAACAUUCAAGUGGCCAGUAGUUGACAUUCCACAAGUGGAAACAUCUUUUCCUGAGACAUGGUCAUGGGUGUAUAGGAUUUGUACUUGUUAUAUCGCUUGGGGCAACUUUCGGCUUUGGUCUGGUAAUUCUCAAACCUUUUCUUUUUAGGCGGCUGACCUUAUGUAACUUCCCGCUUUGCUUGACCGGUCAACCCUUACUGCAAGAAGACAUAUCAGCAUCCUAGUCUUGUUCAGCUACUCGACCUAAGAGUACUAGUUACCUUUAAGAACAUUGCCUUUGAAAGUCUCGGGAGGAUUUCGAGUCAACUGAAAGUAGAAAUUGCCUCCUAUAAAUCUCCUUAUAAGGGCAUUUUGGGUCGUUGCUUCAUCACACCCCUUGCAUAUGGUAUACUCAUUAUUGGAUCUAGAUAUGUAAUCUCAUAGAGAUUUAUCUGGACCCUACUUCACGGAAGUGUGGUCGAUUGAGGUAUACUGUCUCUUAGAGAUAAUCAUGCAGGUGUUCAUGAAAACCUGUCUCAAUCCUGAGAAAGACGAUAUGGAUCCUGGGUAGAUUUACUUGAACCAAUCUUGAAUAGCUGCUAUGAGGGUUGUCGAUAAUAGCUUGCAUUUGGUGGCAUCGUUGUUCCCCCGACCCUCAACUACAUAAAUGAACCCAUCGAGAUGGUCAUACGGGUCAGUAAGCCUUUUGUAGCUCUGCAUCUUGAGCGCUCGGGUUUCUUCGCUCGUUGGCUCAUCCACGAGCUCUUUGAACAAGGGCAGUGACACUUCCCUUUCGGAAUAAUUGGGGUUCUUGGGUUUGGACGAGUGCUCAAUAUCCUCGAGCCGGUCCCAAACGCUCUUCAUUUCUUCACCCAUCACUUUUCUUAGAGUCCUCCACAAAUCGGGGGACCCAAUAUAACAGAAUUUCAGAGUAUAUGCCUAACAGUCCUCAUGGAAUACUCGGUACAGGAACAAAAUAUUCCUCUUCUUUCAACCUUCCUUCGAUCAUCGGCAUAGCCACCGUCCGCCAUGCACCGCCUUGCAUAGUCGUCGAAUUUUGCAGAUUUUUGUCGGUAAACUGGGUAAAUCUUUAAACUACCAUAUCUCGUUCAUUUUUCCACCAAAUUAAACGAUCCAAACAUGAAAAUUCAUAUGUGCAUCACUACGAAUUGAACUAGGGUGAUUAGAAGUAUCACUUUGGUCAAAAUUAACGGAAAAAUUGCGAGAAAGACUCAAUUCCAAAUUAGAGGUCCACGAUUUCUUGAUAAUGAGAUACUUUGAGCAUCAAAGCAUGAACUAGGCUUCUAAGAUGAUGGUGAACACAAUGAUGAUGUUGGCAGGGUCUAACUCGUUUGAAAAGUUUAUGGAUAGUGAUGGUGUGGUUUGGUGAGGAAGAGAUAGUUCAAGAGAAAAGAGGGAGACCGAGAGAGAAACGAGAGAAAAGAAAGUAAGAGAGUGUUCUAGAUAAGUGGGGUGGUCCCCACGUGGCACACACCCUAAAGCCACAAAACGCAUGUGCCACUUAUUGGCAAAAUGACCAAAAUGGCCUCGACUUGUAGAAUCUUCUUUCUAGCUUCGAAUUUCAUUCUGCUUGCGCCUACGCGUUUAUAUCGACACGUACUAUCCAAAUAUGCCAAGAAAAGUGACGAAACAUGAAAGUAUCUAAUAUGUCCAUGAAGAACCCUGUUUAGCACUAUAGGGGCAUUUUCGUCCAUUUACAUAAAAAAAUUCUAUGCCAUAAAUAUAAACGCAUCGCAGCACUACGAAAUACGAAUGUUAAUAGUGAAAUCCCAUGAAAUCCAUGGAUGGGAUUUCACUUCGUGGACUGAAUUGCUAGUUUUAACUAAAAAAUCUAAUUUGUUAGGGCAAUAGAAAAAUUAAUAAUUAGAAUCCCUUACAUUUUUUUCCAACUUGUUUGACUAGAUAUUUGUUCCUUUACAAAAUUUGCUUAAGAUGCUUUCAUCAAUGAUCAACUUAAUAUUUCUCUAUUAUUUAAUAUAUAUUCAUUUAAGUUAGCUAAGAACUAAUUUUCUAAAAUCUAAGAAUGUUAAAUUCCUUGCAGCGUGGGCUCAAAAGACAAAGAGUGGAGUUUUUGGCAGCUAGAGAUGCUACAUGUUUUGCACAGGAGCAGCAACAACAGAGAGUGGAGUUGGAAGGGGAUGCAUUGAUGGUUAUGUUUGCUUUACAAAAUGAAGGGGAAAGAGAUUUGUCUCCUAUUGGGAAUAUCAUUGCUGACAUCCAACAAGCAAUGCAAGCUUUCACACAAAGAAAGACCAUGUUUAAUGUUUUCAAAAAAAAAAAAGAGAAAGACCAUGUUUAAUAAUGGCCGAGCAACAAACAAGGUGGCGCACAUGUUAGCUAGAUUGAGUUUAACCCUAGAUAAUCUUGCCAUUUGGUUCGAGGAACCUCCAGAUGUAGUACUUGAUCUUUUAUUUGAGGAUAGUACUGUUUAUUAUUGUAGUAGUGCGAGACGCUCUUUUUCCCUUCAAUCAGGUUGAAAUCUCCGACAAGGUUUUUAUCAAGGCCCACUAAAUGCAUCCUAUCCUUCAUGAUGUACGUAUUUUGUUUCCUAUCAAUGAAUAUUAUACUUUUCUCAAAAAACAAAAGAACUAAUUUUCUACAAUCUAGGAAUGUUAAAUUCGUGGCUUUAUUAAAAUAAUUCCUCAUAUCACUAAAUAAAAGUAAAUUUUUAUUUUUGUUAUUAUAUUGAAUUAGUCUCUUCUUUCAUUAAAAAAAUUCAUUAAUACUUUCAUAAGAAAACUGUGACAACCCGUCCCUAAUUUUAAGAGUUUUUAAAGUUUUAAUAAAGAAUUUUACAAAAAUGCCCUUUGAGGCACGCGCAUUAUUUGAGAUUAAUCGUUGUGUCGUGCCAUCUAAGAUUUGUUUUCUUGACAUAUCCUCGUAGUACUCGUCGCUACGGACGCGUGGGCGCUGACGGUUCGUUAUUUGGAGUUAUAAUGAAAAAGAUUUUAAAGUUUGAAGUUUGGGCAUUUUAUGAAUUUUAUUAUUAAAAUUUGGAUGGCCCAGAUGAAAGGAAAUCUGAAAUGGAUGGCUUGGAUGUAAGGGAAAGGAAAUAAAAAAAAAUGUUGAAAGGUUUUUGUGUGUGUACGUGAAAGGAAGAAGAAGAAGAUGGAGGAUUGGGCAAAGCUGCCCAAUCGGAAUAGGAGAGGGAGGAGUUGGGCCAACCAGAAAGAAGAGAAAGUGGAGGACCAAUCAGAGGGAGAAGAAAGGAGGAAAGGAGAGAGGGCGAGAAGCGGAGGAGAGAAUGAAGGAAACGGGUUUUCCCCCAACCCGUUUACCCGCGCACCCACCUCCAUUUUUCAGACGAUUUUCACCGGAUUUCUCAUGAAUUGGAUCAAGGUACCACUCCCAAUCAACACCUAGGCCUUCCCUCUUCAUGUUUCACCCCAAAAAUCAUGAAAUUUGAUGGUGAUUUGGUGAAAACCGCACCUGUGGGUGCCGCGACUUUGUUGUUCAAAUUCUUCAAAUCUUGAAAUGUUUUCUUUCAAUUACUAACACCAUUAGCAUUCCUUUAGGACCUGGAACAAAACCCAAGCAUUGGUUGGGACGGUGGAAUUGAUUUGAAGGUCGAAUUGAAAACACCCAAAUUCUAGGGUUCUUCACGGUUUUGGUGAAAUUGAAGUGUUUCCAAGACAAAUUGGCCUUGGCCUCAGGUAUAAAGUUUGCUCUACUCAUUGAGAUCUUCAAUUCUGUAUUUUUUGAGAAUUUUUGGAAAUAGUUGGAUUUUCCGGCGAGCAGGGACGGCCAACUGCCACCCGCGGCGGCCCGUGCGGUGGCGCGUGGCCAAUGGCCCACCAAUGUCAUUCUUAGCAUGUGUUUAAUGCUCUAGGUUCAGUUUUGAUAAUUGAUGGACGUAAAUUGAGUAAUUGAACCUAAGUUCGUUACGAUUCGUGGUUAGGUGAAAAUGUGAAUUGACGAUCCGACCGUUGGAUCGUCACCAAACUUUGAUACGUUGUAAUACGUAAUAUUUGAGGAUUAUAGGAACUUACGGAUUGGGAAUCCGAUUUACGGAUCUUCCGGAAUUGGAGUUGUAAGUUCAUAAAAUAGAAUGUUAACGGUCUCUUGGUUUUGACAAUUGACGGAGAUCCGACCGUUGGAUGGUAAGGAAAUUUUAGGAUGUUGUUCUAGAGAUAUAUUGUGGACCUCUGGAAGAUAUGGAUUGGAAAUCUGAGUUGCAGAUCUUCCGGAUUGAACAACGUAGUGACGUAUUUUAUAUAAGUUAUAUAUUCUAUCGAUAUGAUUUCUGAAGUUGGAUUUGAUUAUUGUUCUAGGCGCCGAUCUAUUGGAAAUAUGCCCUGAAAGUCAAUCUUUGGAAGAAACCUUUCAGGACAAUAAAUGGAUGUAUAAAUGACUCUUAUACAUCAAAUGGCAAAGAUACUAUUUAGGACUAUCUCUAUAAACGAUAUAUGUCCUUGGUAGUAAUUAUAACGCACCACAAAGUAGCACACAAUAAUCCUAUUAACUUUCCUUAUUAACACUAAGAUUUGUCAAUUGUAGCAUAUGAAAAUAAGGGUCUUUCCCGCAGAAGAUUGUUUUAUCCAAAUACUUAAAAUGUCACAAAAACAGGUGGCUGUCUCCACUGACCAGCCACCAAACAAUAAUUAUUAGACUAACUUAUACUUAUCCGAAUGCAACGAAAGUUUAUACACAUAAACUAGACACACCAAGCUAUGCUCACACAAAUUUUUGGGAUUUUUGGAGUUGAUUUGCUAUUUAAAUUAAAUCAUACAAAAACAGUACAGAAACCGAUUUUAAAUAAUACCAAUAGAUUUUAAUUCACAAGUUAAGAAAAUGAGUUAGGGGACAUGCUAUCCACCACCAAAUAAUCAUGUAAGUAUGUUAUGUUUCAUUCAAAUCCCUUUUAUUUCCGGAUGAAGAUGCUCAAGUUGGCUCACUGUUAGAACUCAACCUAUUACUCUUUCUUACGUAGUAUGUUAAGAGAAUGACGUUUUCAACUUAACUUAGUCCCUAGCAUGCAAUCUAGAAUGGUGUGUUUAUAGAUUUAACAAGUAGAAAUCAUUAAGAAUAAAAAGAGUUUGAGUCAUCACAAGGCAUCGUAAGUACUGGUGUUGUCUUACUUAUCCUAGAAAUCGUUUCACAUGUUAACCACAAUUAACAAGUGCUACUCUAGAACAUAUGUAGGUCCUCAUUCAACAAGGGCAGGCAGACAUAUAUUCAUAGCAUUAAAAUCCUAGAUAUGCUCACUAUGUAUGCAUCCAUAGAAACACAUAAAGAAUUUAUCAAUGACAUAAGUAGUGAAACAAUUUUCAUCCUUUCAUAAAAGUCAUUCAAACAAAAUAUCACAACAAAUUUACGAUCAUAUUCGGGGCUUCAAAACAGCCCCUAACUACUAAAAAUUAGUUACACAUUAUUUUCAAAUUAAACCAAAAGUUAAACAUGGGUUCGAGAAGAUAAAACCAAGAAAAUGGAGUGAAGCCUCUUCUCCCUGCUCUCUGCCGUGCCUCCUCCUUUGGAUUGAUGUGCUACUGACUUUUCCCCUGCGUUCACUUCCCCCGUGCCUUCUCUCUGUAUUUUUCUGUUUUUCCUUUCUCUGCACCGUGCUCUCCCUUUCCCUCUGACCUUCCUCGUCCGUCCACUCUCCUUCUUACGUCUCCCCUCUUUUUCGCUCUCCCUUCGACAGCCUGCCCUCCUACCCUUUUAUUCUUUCCGCACUGCCUCAGUGCUCUCUCUCCACUCUUAUUUUUUGCUUGCUGUCAGUCCAUGUGCCUUCUCUGUCAGUCUCCAUGUCUCUCUCUUUAUUUUCUGCAUUCCCCGCACUGACUUCCCCACUUCUUUGCCAGCCAGUCCGAGUCCCACUCUCUUUUCUGUUUUGAUUCCUUCUGCAGUCCACGUGCUUGCUGGCAUGUCCACAAUUUCUUUUAUUCUUUUAUUUAUUAUUCUUCCUUGCCACAGAAGAAUGCCAUCAGCCCUUUUUCCUUUCUCAUGUUCUCGACAUAGCAACAGUAAAGGAACAGUAAUCUUCACUGAGCAUGUGCACUUGAUGACUGAUGAGAUUCUGCAGUAAUGGAAUGACUACACGCAUGCGGUGAUCAUGUGUGUGGCUUUAGUGCUCUUUUCAAGGUAUAAGCUGGAAAGUAUUUUUGGCAGCAAGAUUCUUUUGUGCUAUUUUUAUUUUCUUUGCAUAACAAAUCCUAUAAACACAAAAAUAACGUAAAUAGCUCAAAAAUAUAAGGAACUAACUAAGAAAAGAUGAGUGAAUUCGAAGUAAAAAUAUAUAUAAAUAUGAUCCGAUCAGUCCUAAAUGGUGAAUCCAUGGACAAUGGAUCGAUUGAAGAAGUAAUCUAAUGAAGUUAGACUACAGAGACCUUCUUCACAUAACCAUCAUGUCCAAAAGGUUCCUGGUCAUAGGAUUGUCGGAGGGAUACUGACAAUGCAUAGACCGGUACAUACUAUGUCCGCUUCAAUUAGAAGGAUGGAAAGUCUCAUCCCAUUCGUGUAGUGACACUAAGACAAGUAUAUAGGUGCUCAUUAAGGGAAUGAGUUCACUGAACACAAUCGAACAAGAGUACUUGCAUGGAGGUCUACUCACAUGUCAAGCAAGUAACUCUAAUAGUUGGAAUAAUGUAAGUAGUCCUUUGACCUGAGGCAUCAUCGUUGUCUUGUGGUUAAGUACUUGAUCUUUGAUUAUGUCAAAGUCACUCCAUCCGCGGGUGUCCACGGCAUAGUCGGGGUUAAGCCACUUAGUCAUGAAGGCAAGUGAAUGCACAACAAGGAAUCUCUAAUCCUCGUUAAGAGAGGAUGAAUACUCUAAGAUAUGAUUCUGGAAUCUUCGGCCGAAGUAUCGAGCGUAAUGAAUGAAAGCAUUCCUAUACAACUCAAUUGAAUCAUAUAAGAAGGAAUAAUCACAUUAGGGGUUUGACAUAAUAUAUCCAUACCCUAGUGAUGUGAUUGAGAGUAUUGUUUUAGAGAAGGAUCGAAUUGCAUUGUAAUUCCAACUGAAUAGGUUCUCCGAACAACUUCUACAUUAGCUUGGGUAGCCAUGAUAUAUGGUUAGAUGUCACUCAUGGCUUGUGAGUUCUUCUAGAUGAUUAAAUGUAGUCGUCAAAGAAGAAGGUGAAUUAAAAGUAAGUUUUAAUUCACUAAGUGAUUGGAUUAAAUAUAAUCAAUUGGAUUGGUGUCAAUCACCUCACUGCCUUGCUAAUUAGAACCUAAAACGAUUGUUCACCAAUACACUCUUGUAGUGAGUAACUAAUGGAUAAUGGAAAUAAUUAAUUGGAUUAAUUAAGUGUUGUGAUUAAUUAGAAAGUCUAAAGAAAUCAUAAAAGCGAUAUAAGAUCGUUUUGGGCUUAAAGAAACUUUUGGGUUUAAUUGGGCCCAUUGGGCUUUUAUUCAAGCAUUGGAUGACUUAAAAUAAAUAAAAGCCCAAAGCCCAAACAACACAAAGGGGGCCGGCCAAAUGAGGGAGAGAAAGGUCAAAUGUUGACUUGUUUCUUUUUGGCUAUAAAAGGAACUUUAUAGCAAAUGUUUCAUUAGGGUUUUUGAAGUGUUAAAAGAACAAAAGAGAAAAAGAAAAAUAUCUCUCUAACACUCAAAGGGCCGGCCACCAUAGAGGGAUUUUAGCUAAUCAUCUUUUCACCCCUUUGGUUAUUCCUUCAUCCUUCUCACUACACUAGUGGGUGAGGAUCUUUAGAGGUUUUCAAUUUUGGAAACUUGAAGAGAACCUAGGAGCACUCAUACUAAACAAAGUGGAGGAGGCAAGGAAGAAGGCUAGGCUCAAGGAGUUCAAGGAGCAAAGGGCUUGGAGGUGGUCCAUCCUUGGUCUAAGAUCUAGAUCAAGAGGUAUAAAACUACUCCUAAACUUUGUUCUUAUAUAAAUUUGUUUUUGAUGCAUCUUACAUAAACCUAUGCAACUUGAAGGGGAUUUUCAUAACUAGAGCUUUGAUAUUAUUUGAUAACAUGCUUCCGUUGCUUUCGUAUAUAAAUCUUGAAUUGUAUAUGCAUGCUAGUCACUAGAAAUCCCACAUGAAUCUCAUAGAAUUCCCUUUCAAGUGGUAUCAGAGCCAAAGGUUUAUGUAUGAUGUGUCCUUUUGGAUUUUAUGCAUAUGGGUUUUAAUAUGAUGUAUGACAUAUUAUUUCUUCAUUCAAAGUAUGUUUAUCUUUUGUUUUUCAAAUGUUGAAAAAUGUGAAUCAAGAGUUGAAAAAGAUACGCAUGCAAAAAGGUGUUUUGGAUGCAUGAAUGAAGAUUGAGUUUUGAACAAAAUUUGGGGUUUUGUUCCAUAGGGGAGGGCACGGUUUUGGGGGUGGUUUUGGCUUGUGUUUGUGUUUUAUUGUAAACCACUCACACAUCCUUUUUAAAGCUAGAAAGAAGAGAUCUUGUCACUUUUGGUUUUGGGUUUGAAAAAUCACCAAGAAUGUACAAAUCUUGAAAUAGUGUUCAUGGUUUUGUUCUUGGUGUUCAUGGUUUUGUUCUUGGUGUUCAUGGUUUUGGUUUUGGUGAAAAUGGUUUUGUUUUGUGUUGGUGAAAAUGGUUUUGUUUUGUGUUCUUACUUCAUUAUUUGGUUUUAGAUGGUAUACUUACCAUCCAUAGCCUUCCCAAAUAUUUAAUAAAUCCUAGACUUGACUAGGUGAAUUUUCAUCACUUUUUCUUAAAGUCCUUAAAGCCUAAGUCAAGUGACAAGUAAAAUUUGGAUUUUUUCUACAUUAUGUUGAUUUAAUGCUUUGUGUAAGAAACCUCUCAUCCCCAUUAUGUGGCCGGCCUCCCUAGUGGAUUUAUCCACUUGUGGGGCUAUUUUGUAUUUUUGAAAAGUUGAUAUUUACUUUCAAGUAUUUACGGUUUGACCCCUAACUUUUUGUAUUUGCAUUUAGGCCCCUACUAACUAGAAAGUUUAAAUAUUUGAUUUUAAUUUUGUUAGUUGUUUAAACUCAUAUUAAUAUUAUGCCCAUAUGCACUAAAUCUAAAUGUUUAUGUUGCAUUCCAUAUGAUUAUUUAAUGUGAUUAAGUAGUUAGAAAAAUGGGUGACUAUGGACUUAUGCCUUAAACGAUAAUUGAGCUAUGAGAUAAGGCGCUAAACUCAAAUUGUUUGAACUUUGGGAAUGUGUUUUAAUUACUGUUUCAUUUGGACCUUGUCACGUUGGACAUUAAUCUAUCUCUCCCUCUUAGUAUAUGUAAUUUGUAGGAAUUUGAACAAAUCGUUUUGUAAUUCUUAUUACUUCUUAAUCUCUUUUAGUUAGUUGAUUCCCUCUAGUGCUAGACUAGAGUUUCUUUAACUAUUGGUAAGGAGACAUAACUAAAAGAGGGUUUUUGACAUGAGAUUAAAGAUUAAAUGGGUCCAACGCCCUAAUUAGCAAUGAAUGAUCGUCUUUCAUUUCUAAUGGCUCAAUGAAAAUGUUUUAAUUGGAUUGAAAAGCACGUAAUUAAAUUGACACAACCUCCCCGAGUUCUUAUUCAACAAUGUUGGCUCAUUGUUGCAAUAACCUAAUAAGUCCAUGGUCAUCCAAGAGCCUAAGAUAAAUAUAAAGUCCAAAUUCAAAGGAAUGCAAAAACCGUAGUAGUAGUAGUUACUUCCAAUAUUUGAAAAGUUCAUUUUUUGAUAUUGAUUUGUUUUUCUUAAAACAAAUAGUGGGAGUAUCAUACGCUACUAAACUAUAAUGAAUACAAUUAGUAGUUAUAUAUAUCUCCAAUAUUUUGAAAAAUGUUUUGAUAUUGAUUUGUUUUAUGAAAACGAAUAGUGGGGAUAUCAUAUGCUACUAAUUUCAUUAACUUUAGACUAGUAGUUAUAAUAGGACACAAUUUAUUUGAAUGUGAUUAAAUAAAUAAAAUUGAUGAGACCUUAAAAUCCCUCAACCAACAUACAAUAUUAAGUUGAAAGCGUAAGAGUGCUUUGAACACUUUUUCGUGGCCUUCCACCGUGGUAGGCUCCAAUCGUUUAUGACUUGUACACCGCCUUCACCCUAUCAUGGGAGAGUGCAAAGUGCAUGCUUAUACUCAGGAGGAGUUUAUUUAAAACAUUUGAUGAGGUUAAGGUAGGCAACGAGUGUGGCCAACAUCGUAUCAUCGUGAGGUCAUACUUGAACCCCUAUCUAAACCGGCAUGGUGGGACAAAACUUAACUAAGAGAAAUUGUGCCAACAUCAUAUCAUUGUAAGGCAUUGUUCUCUAGAGGCCAAAAAGAUAGGUAAUCACAAGAGGUUGUUGUGAAUGGGUAGUAAUACCCUCUCAUUAUUAUUUUUGCUAGCCGACAUCGUAUCAUCGUGAGGUGGGCUUGGUAAUAGUGAGCCUCCCAUAACCCGCUAGGAGCUUUCAUUGAAAUCUCCCGGAUUCCAUCUUGAGGGAUAUGGAAUUUGCCAAAAAUGGUGGGUGGUGUCAUUCGGUUUAAAGACCCGAAUCGUUUGACUUAAUCAACAAUCAAACUAAUUAUUUUAUUGUUUAGGUAUUUAGAUAUGGUUGGAAGCACACUCGCGAAAAUACUCGACAAACAUUGCCUAGAGGGGCACAAUUUCCCAUCAUGGUAUCGUAAUGUCAAGAUUCUCCUAACAUUGGAGAAGAUUGUUUACGUGCUAGACAAGGCCCCACCUCACAUACCUCUCGGCCCCGAGGCCACUGAGGAUGAACGUGCUAAGUAUGACAAGCACGUUGAGGAUGAUACACAAGCCAAGUGCUAUCUGUUGGCUUCCAUGAAUGAGGAGCUACAGAGACAGCACGAGGGUAUGGACAGUGCAUCUUCCAUCAUACUCCAUCUUACGGAGUUAUAUGGUGAAGGGACGCGCAACCGUCGCUUUAGCACUAUCAGUGAACUUGUGAAGACCAAGAUGGUCAAGGGGGCUCCAGUGCAUCAACAUGUACUGAAGAUGAUAGGACUCAUUGAACAAUUGGAGAACCUAGGUACUCCACUUGACGUGGAAUUGGCCCAGGACUUCAUAUUGGCUUCUCUUUCUAAUUCAUUCUCUCAGUUCGUAAUGAACUACAAUAUGAAUAAGAUAGAUAGUACUCUAUCUGAGUUACUAAACAUGUUAGUAACUACCGAGAAGACUAUGAAGAAAGAGAACGUUGUAGGGACUGCUGCAGUAGCCUACAACAAGCCAUCCUCUUCCAAGGCCAAGCUGCAAGGCAAAGGCAAAGGGAAGGAGAAGAAGUCUCCCACUCCUAAGCCGCAAGGAGGAGUGAGGAAAAAGAAGGCAAAGGAGCCCAAGGGGACUUGCCACCACUGUGGAAAGGAGGGGCAUUGGAAGAGGAAUUGCAGGUUAUACCUUGCAACUCUUAAGGACAAGCCACAAGGUAUGGUUUAUGUUCUUAUUGUCAAUUCUAAUUGUUAGAUCUUCUAAAAUUUAUAUUUGAUAUAAAGGGCUAAUUACUUGUAUAAUUGUAUAUAGGUGGAGGAGCCAAGUAGAAGAGGAACAAGCAAAGAAAAGUGUGGCGAAGGGUUCGGCCACCAUGUUUUUGCUUACUACUUAGGAAGUUUGUUAGGCAUUUAAAGAUAGUCUUUAAACUUUCUUAUUUUGUUAAGAACUUAUACUGUGGCUUCAUAUGAUGGAAGACCACUAUUAGUGCCUACAUGAAGGUAUAUAAUUAGUCUCUAAAUGUAUAGAGCUAAUUCUUUUUGUAUUAAACAUUAUGAAUGUUUGAAUUAUCAUAUUAAUGUAAUGUGAUGAAUGCCUUCUAAUAUAUUAUUUCCUUAAAGUAGUGUUAUGAAUUGAAUAUUGUCUUGUUGUAUCCUAGUUGAGAUACAAGAUUUAUAUCACUUAUUGUAAUGUGAUAACCAAACUUUAGACUUAUCAUUUAUGGAUAGAUCUCACAUGUAGAACAUAGAAGGAUACAAUGAAUCUUUAGAUUUGGUUCCAAUUGUCUACCUAUGAGUUCUAUAAGAAAUGACAAAGAUCUAGAGAUUCCUUUCUUGAAGAAAAGGAAGAUCACAUUAUAAUGAUAUAAGUAAUAAGAAAAACGUUUCUUAUAUG
RNAcentral lists this long non-coding RNA (21668 nucleotides) under Malus domestica (apple). Its description in RNAcentral is "long non-coding RNA (MDOM_LNC013095)". The record is from RNAcentral. Lineage: Eukaryota; Viridiplantae; Streptophyta; Magnoliopsida; Rosales; Rosaceae.